RNAcentral lists this long non-coding RNA (3078 nucleotides) under Gallus gallus (chicken). Lineage: Eukaryota; Metazoa; Chordata; Aves; Galliformes; Phasianidae. The record is from RNAcentral.
CUGAAUGUCAUAUGAAGAAAACAUCAUUUUUUUUUUCCCAGCUAAACAGCAUGACAGUGCAUUAUGUAGUAAAAGGAAUCUGUAAUGUUGGAGGCAUAUCUUGAGUAAAUUUGCUGUAAAUAGAAAUGAAAAAUUAUUUGUAAAGAGUAUAUUUACAUUGCAGUCAUAAAAAUAAACAGUACUGACAAGGAGUUGUCAUCAAAGACACUUUUAUAGGCUUAAGAAUUCACCCUGAUGCUUUGCUUACUGACUUUUUUUGGUGUUAAUCCUUUUUGUAGUGUUGUAUGUGAUUGCCUGCAAAAUGUGUCCUUGUAUACCUAGCUGUCUUUGUUUAGAGUUUUAUGGUAGGAAAAUAUGGAUCUACGUCUUCUGCUUUUUAUGAAUAGAGAGAAAAUGUGUAGGAUUUUAUUUCCACCACUUAUCUUUUUUUUUUGAGGUUAAACGUUUAUUUAAAAGCAAGGUAAUGAACUGUUCCCAUCAUGUGACGUUUUAGUGUCAUUAUGUAGUGCUUUGAAAUUCAAUAGUUUCCAAGAAUUAUACCAAAACUGUUGCUGAGAUUUUAUUGUGCAGGUAAUUAUGUGUGGGAUAUAUGUAUCAGCUCCAAAAGGGCUCAAAUGCUUUUAUAGACAGGCUUAAAUCACAAUUUUUUCUUCUAUCAACAAAGCAAUCUAACAGUGCACAGAGAACAGUGGAUAAGACCUUCGAUAUCACUGCUGUAAUAAUUCAAAGUGUUACUUGUAGUAAUAGUGAAAAUAUUUUUGGCCACAAGAAAGAAGUUGUGAAGUUCUAAAGAUUAUUUCAUGCUCAUCUGACAGCUGUUUUCAUUAUUUUCACCUCAGAGGUAAUGAAAUGGCUAAUUUAUUAUGUAAGUGUGUUUGUUUUCAAAGAAAACAUUUGUGACUUGCUUGACUGCAAUGUGACUCUGGUUAAGUGAGUGAGCCAGAUCUCAGUGGUGUUCUCGCAUAGAUGGAACUGUAAGUGAUUUGUGCCCUAGUUAUUCAAAGCACAUGCGUGAGUAUGUUGUGGACAUAAGCACAGACAUAAGUAUAUAAAUCAGGCUGUCUUUCCAGCCAUCCAUGAAAAAGUCACUUGUCACUCCCUUUUGAGGAGGAAAUGCAUCUCAUCACCUGUCAGUUCAGACUUCUUUAAUAAGUAGUUUCCAGUUUUAUCAUUUUAUUCAAUUAAAAAUCUAUCAACAGAUAUUUGCUAUACUCUUCAUUGAUUCCCCCAUUGUUCUCCAGUUCUUCCAUGUUUUUUGUCAUUUCAUCUUUUGUGCAUAGAAUAGCAGGGCGUUCAAAUUGAUGAUAAUUAUUUCUGUGCUUCUCAGAAGGUCCAUAGAAUCCUAGAAUCAUUAAGAUUGGAGAAGAUCACUAAGCUCAUCUGAACCAACGAUGAAGCAAAAUAGCAUUAAACAGAGAAGAGAUAAACCAAGUGUUUAGCAUGAGACAUUUGACGCGAUAUCCAGCUCCUCUGUUGUGAGGGUGGUGUCAGGGUUGUAUUGAGAAGAGCUCACAAAGACCUCCAAAACGUCCCUUGAACUCUGUGAAGCAAAUCUGUGUGCUGAAUCAGAGAGAUGGUGUAUGGUAACCACUGAUCUUCCACCAGUACUGCAGCCCAUUCUCUAGGGGCAAGUAGGCCCCUGCAAUGUGGGAUGAGGAUGUGGCUCCACAAGGAGUACUCGCUGUAGUCGUAAUGCUGUUGCUGUAAUAUUGUGCAUUUACUGUCUCACACAAUCUGAGUUGAUUAGAAUGUGUUGUGUCUUUAAAACAUUGUUUCAAAAGUUAUUUUUAUGAAUGAGUUGAAAAUUAAUUUUUAAGUAUGCCUGUCUAGAUUGAAAAAAAUAAGUUGGAAAUAUCCAGAUUGCAGGGUAGUAAAAUCAAUCUUCUUAUGUUAGGCAUGAGUCAUAAGAUCACCAUGCUUGAUUGGUUGAUCUGCCACAGUUACACAUAACUACAGCCUUUAGUCUGUGAGGCUUCAAUGCAGAAAGCAAUGUUAUUUGCACCAAGACUUUACCACAGUCAACAGAGUGCCAAUUGGAUGACACAGUUACUUAUUACUUUCUUAAUCCCACACGGUUUUCUAAUAAUAUUUCAGAAGGCCUAGUAUCCUCUGGGUCAUAUGAUGUGUCAUCCUGGUUCAUGUAUCACAUACUUCCAGUUCUAUGCCAAAAAAAAUCUCUCAGCUGAAAACUGCACUACAGCUUUUGUAAUAAUUAAAUUAAGGGGGCAAAGAGCUUAUACAAAUAUGCUAAGGCCAAGGAUGCACAACAGAGGCCCUAAGACACUUUUGCUGUGCAUCAAGUAAUGUGGACGUGGUGCUUUAGGUCUAGGAGGGACUAGAACUGAGCAGUGUUGACACAAGAGGUUCUGCAUCCGUGGACUUUAAGUACAGACAUCCCUUCUGGCCUAGGUGCUUACAUCAGUACAGAUGUAAAGUUGCAUCGAGAGGCUGAUUUGGAUGAUAAGUAAUGCUGUGUAAGAUGGCAGCAAGAAAGCAAAACAUUGUGGGUCGCACUAUUCCCAUUUCAAAUUAGCUGUGCUGCUUCACAUAGUCUUUUCACUGCUACAUUACACUGAUCUGCAUGUCAUUUGGUUUCUUUAGCAAUGUUUUCACUUUCUAAGGAAAAAUGACCUUGAAUCCAAGUAAAAUGGAUCACUCCAACAUUUAGUAAGACUUAAGUUUUCUAAGUGAGGUCUUAAUCUACAGGUAAAAGUAGCCUGAGGGUUUAUUUUUUAUUUUUUUUAAUUUUCAGUAUGUGCAUCUGUUUAUCAAAAUGAAGUAAAUUUUUCUCUUCAGACAUGUCUUUGAAUAUGUCUGGAUAGAAAUUUGCUGUGUAUGUUGGGUUAUGUGAUUAAGGUCUGGCAACUCCUAUCAAAGCUGACACAAAGGAGAAAGAAUAGUCUCUGUCAAAUAUUGGAAUUGGAUUAUAGAAUAUUUUCUACUUACAACAGAAUUAUGCAUAACUGCAGCCAUAGAAUUUACCUACACUCAGAGCCACAUAUAAAUACAUGCACAUGAAAAUCUGAUGUGUUUUAUUAAGGAGUUGUUCACACAUCCUCUUCUGACUGUAACUGUGCU